CCAGAGAAUACAUUCCACUGCAGCAGGGACCAUACUGGACUUUGGUAUAGUAUCUUCAACACUUGGCACAGUGCCUGGCAUAUGGAUUCCCUGUCCAAUUAGACGCCCGGACCCCUGCUGCCCCUCAGCUCCCUGUGAGCCCUGUCCAGGUUAAAUGACCCACGUAAGCCCAUAGAUAUUUGGUGGAGAACUAAGAUGACAAUGCCUGACUUACGUUCCCC
Long non-coding RNA from Neogale vison (American mink), 221 nucleotides. RefSeq lists it as uncharacterized. The record is from RefSeq and is a predicted model, not a curated record. NCBI's taxonomy places the organism in Eukaryota, Metazoa, Chordata, Mammalia, Carnivora, Mustelidae. The transcript has 3 exons.